RNAcentral lists this ribosomal RNA (490 nucleotides) under uncultured bacterium. RNAcentral describes it as "partial 16S ribosomal RNA". It matches the Rfam family "Bacterial small subunit ribosomal RNA", at positions 30 to 507 of the family's 1533-position model. The record is from RNAcentral.
AUUGAACGCUGGCGGCAGGCCUAACACAUGCAAGUCGAACGGUAACAGGAAGCAGCUUGCUGCUUUGCUGACGAGUGGCGGACGGGUGAGUCAUGUCUGGGAAACUUCCUGAUGGAGGGGGAUCACUACUGGAAACGGUAGCUCAUACCGCAUACCGUCGCAAGACCAAAGAGGGGGACCUUCGGGCCUCUUGCCAUCUGAUGUGCCCCGAUGGGAUUAGCUAGUAGGUGGGGUAACGGCUCACCCAGGCGACGAUCCCUAGCUGGUCUGAGAGGAUGACCAGCCACACUGGAACUGAGACACGGUCCAGACUCCUACGGGAGGCAGCAGUGGGGAAUAUUGCACAAUGGGCGCAAGCCUGAUGCAGCCAUGCCGCGUGUAUGAAGAAGGCCUUCGGGUUGUAAAGUACUUUCAGCGGGGAAGAAGGGAGUAAAGUUAAUACCUUUGCGCAUUGACGUUACCCGAAGAAGAAGCACCGGCUAACUCCGUG